GUCUACAGCUAUGCCACCCUGAACAAGCCCGAUCUCAUCUGAUCUCGGAAGCUAAGCAGGAUCGGGCCUGGUUAGUACUUGGAUGGGAGACCACCUAGGAAGACAGGUGCCAUAGGUG
This 118-nucleotide ribosomal RNA is filed under the name Pteropus alecto (black flying fox). Lineage: Eukaryota; Metazoa; Chordata; Mammalia; Chiroptera; Pteropodidae. The record is from RNAcentral.